GAUGAACGCUGGCGGCGUGCUUAACACAUGCAAGUCGAACGGAAAGGCCCAAGCUUGCUUGGGUACUCGAGUGGCGAACGGGUGAGUAACACGUGGGUGAUCUGCCCUGCACUUCGGGAUAAGCCUGGGAAACUGGGUCUAAUACCGGAUAGGACCACAUUUUGGAUGGUGUGGUGGAAAGUUUUUCGGUGUGGGAUGAGCUCGCGGCCUAUCAGCUUGUUGGUGGGGUAAUGGCCUACCAAGGCGUCGACGGGUAGCCGGCCUGAGAGGGUGUACGGCCACAUUGGGACUGAGAGACGGCCCAGACUCCGACGGGAGGCAGCAGUGGGGAAUAUUGCACAAUGGGCGCAAGCCUGAUGCAGCGACGCCGCGUGGGGGAUGACGGCCUUCGGGUUGUAAACUCCUUUCGCUAGGGACGAAGCGUUUUUGUGACGGUACCUGGAGAAGAAGCACCGGCUAACUACGUG
This 467-nucleotide ribosomal RNA is filed under the name uncultured bacterium. RNAcentral's name for it is "partial 16S ribosomal RNA". It matches the Rfam family "Bacterial small subunit ribosomal RNA", at positions 28 to 507 of the family's 1533-position model. The record is from RNAcentral.